GAUGAAGAACGCAGCGAAAUGCGAUAAGUAAUGUGAAUUGCAGAAUUCAGUGAAUCAUCGAAUCUUUGAACGCACAUUGCGCCCGCCAGCACUCUGGCGGGCAUGCCUGUCCGAGCGUCAUUUCAACCCUCAGGCCCCCCGGGGACUGGUGUUGGGGAUCGGCCCGCCCUGGCGCGGCGCCGUCCCCGAAAUACAGUGGCGGUCUCGCUGCAGCCUCCCCUGCGUAGUAGCACACCUCGCAUUGGAGAGCGGCGCGGCCACGCCGUGAAACCCCAACUUCUGAUAGUUGACCUCGGAUCAGGUAGGAAUACCCGCUGAACUUAAGCUUAUCAAUAAGCGGAGGA
This 344-nucleotide unclassified non-coding RNA is filed under the name soil metagenome. RNAcentral's name for it is "partial contains 5.8S ribosomal RNA, internal transcribed spacer 2, and large subunit ribosomal RNA". The stretch from base 1 to 120 matches the Rfam family "5.8S ribosomal RNA", at positions 35 to 154 of the family's 154-position model. The record is from RNAcentral.